RNAcentral lists this long non-coding RNA (837 nucleotides) under Nicotiana tabacum (common tobacco). Its description in RNAcentral is "long non-coding RNA (NTAB_LNC016736)". The record is from RNAcentral. Lineage: Eukaryota; Viridiplantae; Streptophyta; Magnoliopsida; Solanales; Solanaceae.
AAAAAACUAAGAAAAAAACAAAAGUACGUACAGGCAUAACAAGUAUAGUUGUUUAAGAUGACAAAAUCAAUCAAUGUUUUGGUUUACAUGAUUUUUGUCAUGUUUGUUCUUGUUUCAUUAACUAAGGGGGUGCCAGAGUCUUCGUAUGCACCAAAACCAUCAUAUGUAUCCGAGCAAUCAUAUGCACCAGAAGCAACAUCAUCAAAAACAUCACUAGAACUGUCUGUUGCAAGUCGUAGCACUCGCGUAUCUAUUACAGGUAUAUCCAGUUUUAAUACUUUUUUCUUUCAUUUUCUCAUUACUCCGUUUAUAAUUAAAACUAAAAUUUGCAUAGUAUAAGAAUUGAUACAUCUUCAAAGACACUAAAUAACUCAAAAAUAUAUUCCUAUGGGAUGUUUGCUAUUGAUGUUNNNNNNNNNNNNNNNNNNNNNUGUUUGAUGUUUUCUAUUUUUUUUAAUUACAAUUUUGGCACUAAUAGAUUCAUAUUUUUCUAAUGAGUAUAUAAUUAUUUUUAUAAUCAUGAUUACGAAUGUGUAUUUUAGGUUUCAAAAUUCGUAGAUUCGACUUUCUUCUGUUAGGUUUACAACCUUUAAAGUGAAAGCUUUUAAUUUUUUUAAUCUAUUGUAUAUGAAAUAUGUUUGUUUCGUGAAUUUCAGGUUGCACUUUUGCAUCACAAUGCAAAACCAAAUGUUGCAUUUGCGAUAAAGGCGCAUGCAUUCGAUGUUGUUGAGAGGGUAUAACUACAAUUACUAUGUAAUUGGUGACUGGCUAGCAUACUAAUAUAAAUUAUUUACCAAUAAAACAUAUGUAUUUGUAGCUAUUAUAGCACCAAAGAAC